Lepus europaeus (European hare) is the source of this 262-nucleotide long non-coding RNA. RefSeq lists it as uncharacterized. The record is from RefSeq and is a predicted model, not a curated record. The transcript is spliced from 3 exons. Lineage: Eukaryota; Metazoa; Chordata; Mammalia; Lagomorpha; Leporidae.
CAAGAGUUAACAUCAUCACUUUGUGCCAGCAAGAAGAAUCCUAGUUACAUUGCAAUCAGAUGUUGAUCAUUCCUAGGGUUUUUUCCAAUUGGCAGUGUGGCUUGUGCCAGUCUCAGCACACGUUGCCUGUGCUCCACUUGGUUUACAUUCUAUUUCUAAGAUGGCCGCAGCAGCCAGAGCUGCACUGAUCCUAAGUCAGGAGCCAACAGCUUCUUCCAGGUCUCCCAUUUGGGUGCAAGGGCCCAAGGACUUGGACCAUCUU